This is a non-coding RNA of Paramuricea clavata, 451 nucleotides long. The record is from the annotation of a GenBank genome assembly. Lineage: Eukaryota; Metazoa; Cnidaria; Anthozoa; Malacalcyonacea; Plexauridae.
AAAAUAUUACUAAAAUCACUAAACUGGCCACAUCCCGCUAAGAAUUUCAAACGGGGAAAGACGUUUGAUAAUUCCAAAUUCAAUUUUCGUUCAAUCAUGUGAUCAAAUUGUUUCAUCAUUUUGGUCACAUGACUUCACGAUUUGACAGUGCUAAUUAUUCCCAGUCAACUUCGAAACAACUCAGUAUAUUACAAGAUGGAGAUCAUAUUUUCGCUAAAAGGGAGAUCAUAUUAUAAGAUAGAUAGUGGAUAGAUUGUUCAUUACGAUUAUGGAACUUUAAAAUGAACAUAAAACGAAUAUUUCAUAUAUUCUGUUGCAUUGACCUUCGUUUAGAUGUUUGUCACCUUGUUUACGUUUGAAUAACUUGGCGGCUAUUAGUAAAACAAGGAACACCGGAACAACGGAACACCGGAACACCGGAACAGCAUCAUUCCGGAACACGGAACACCGG